Molecule: long non-coding RNA, 311 nt
Filed under: Chinchilla lanigera (long-tailed chinchilla)
Lineage: Eukaryota; Metazoa; Chordata; Mammalia; Rodentia; Chinchillidae
Description: lncRNA (ENSCLAG00000028826.1)
Source: RNAcentral
AUGCGACCCGACAUGACAGCAGCAAGGCUGCAGACAUGGCUGCUUAGGUUCAGUAAUAGAAAAGUGUGCAAACUGGCCUUUUACUUCUAUCUUCUGACGCCACGAUCUACCCCGGCAAAGCGCUGUACUCCUUACCUCCACACGACAGCUGAGCACACGGUGACGCGAGAGGGCUGUCCCCACAGCUCGCCUACUGAAGGCCUGGGCUGCCUCCUCUGCAGACCCAGGGCUCACACCGCUGCUGUCACUCGUAAUUUAUCUCGUGACAUCCUCGACUUUCCAUUUUUAAGUGGCACAUAAACAAAUACUGG